This 406-nucleotide ribosomal RNA is filed under the name uncultured bacterium. RNAcentral's name for it is "partial 16S ribosomal RNA". It matches the Rfam family "Bacterial small subunit ribosomal RNA", at positions 30 to 526 of the family's 1533-position model. The record is from RNAcentral.
AUUGAACGCUGGCGGCAGGCCUAACACAUGCAAGUCGAGCGAGCGGCGGAUGGGUGAGUAAUGUCAGGGAAACUGCCCGAUGGAGGGGGAUAACUACUGGAAACGGUAGCUAAUACUGCAUACCAUUAGAUGUGUCCAGAUGGGAUUAGCUAGUAGGGGGGGUAACGGCACACCUAGGCGACGAUCCCUAGCUGGUACGAGAGGAUGACCAGCCACACUGGAACUGAGACACGGUCCAGACUCCUACGGGAGGCAGCAUUGGGGAAUAUUGCACAAUGGGCGCAAGCCUGAUGCAGCCAUGCCGCGUGUGUGAAGAAGGCCUUCGGAUUGUAAAGCACUUUCAGCGGGGAGGCGUUACCCGCAGAAGAAGCACCGGCUAACUCCGUGCCAGCAGCCGCGGUAAUUC